GUGCCAGCAGCCGCGGUAAGACGGAGGGGGCUAGCGUUGUUCGGAAUUACUGGGCGUAAAGCGCACGUAGGCGGCUUUUCAAGUUAGGCGUGAAAGCCCCGGGCUCAACCCGGGAAUUGCGCUUGAUACUGUUGAGCUUGAGACCGGGAGAGGAUAGCGGAAUUCCCAGUGUAGAGGUGAAAUUCGUAGAUAUUGGGAAGAACACCAGUGGCGAAGGCGGCUAUCUGGACCGGUACUGACGCUGAGGUGCGAAAGCGUGGGGAGCAAACAGGAUUAGAUACCCCGGUAGUCC
RNAcentral lists this ribosomal RNA (292 nucleotides) under uncultured bacterium. Its description in RNAcentral is "partial 16S ribosomal RNA". It matches the Rfam family "Bacterial small subunit ribosomal RNA", at positions 505 to 796 of the family's 1533-position model. The record is from RNAcentral.